CCAGAGAACUUAGCAGAGAUGCUUUGGUGCCUUCGGGAACUCUGAGACAGGUGCUGCAUGGCUGUCGUCAGCUCGUGUUGUGAAAUGUUGGGUUAAGUCCCGCAACGAGCGCAACCCUUAUCCUUUGUUGCCAGCGGUCCGGCCGGGAACUCAAAGGAGACUGCCAGUGAUAAACUGGAGGAAGGUGGGAUGACGUCAAGUCAUCAUGGCCCUUACGAGUAGGGCUACACACGUGCUACAAUGGCGCAUACAAAGAGAAGCGACCUCGCGAGAGCAAGCGGACCUCAUAAAGUGCGUCGUAGUCCGGAUUGGAGUCUGCAACUCGACUCCAUGAAGUCGGAAUCGCUAGUAAUCGUAGAUCAGAAUGCUACGGUGAAUACGUUCCCGGGCCUUGUACACACCGCCCGUCACACCAUGGGAGUGGGUUGCAAAAGAAGUAGGUAGCUUAACCUUCGGGAGGGCGCUUACCACUUUGUGAUUCAUGACUGGGGUGAAGUCGUAACAAGGUAGGCGUAGACGU
RNAcentral lists this ribosomal RNA (520 nucleotides) under uncultured bacterium. RNAcentral's name for it is "bacterial SSU rRNA". It matches the Rfam family "Bacterial small subunit ribosomal RNA", at positions 988 to 1509 of the family's 1533-position model. The record is from RNAcentral.